AGUGAACGCUGGCGGUAGGCCUAACACAUGCAAGUCGAACGGCAGCACAGUAAGAGCUUGCUCUUACGGGUGGCGAGUGGCGGACGGGUGAGGAAUACAUCGGAAUCUACUUUUUCGUGGGGGAUAACGUAGGGAAACUUACGCUAAUACCGCAUACGACCUACGGGUGAAAGCAGGGGAUCUUCGGACCUUGCGCGAUUGAAUGAGCCGAUGUCGGAUUAGCUAGUUGGCGGGGUAAAGGCCCACCAAGGCGACGAUACGUAGCUGGUCUGAGAGGAUGAUCAGCCACACUGGAACUGAGACACGGUCCAGACUCCUACGGGAGGCAGCAGUGGGGAAUAUUGGACAAUGGGCGCAAGCCUGAUCCAGCCAUACCGCGUGGGUGAAGAAGGCCUUCGGGUUGUAAAGCCCUUUUGUUGGGAAAGAAAAGCAGCAGGUUAAUACCCCGCUGUUCUGACGGUACCCAAAGAAUAAGCACCGGCUAACUUCGU
RNAcentral lists this ribosomal RNA (491 nucleotides) under uncultured bacterium. RNAcentral describes it as "partial 16S ribosomal RNA". It matches the Rfam family "Bacterial small subunit ribosomal RNA", at positions 29 to 506 of the family's 1533-position model. The record is from RNAcentral.